CCUACGGGAGGCUGCAGUGGGGAAUAUUGGACAAUGGGGGGAACCCUGAUCCAGCCAUGCCGCGUGUGUGAAGAAGGCCCUCGGGUUGUAAAGCACUUUCAGUGAGGAAGAACGCCUGGUGGUUAAUACCCAUCAGGAAAGACAUCACUCACAGAAGAAGCACCGGCUAACUCCGUGCCAGCAGCCGCGGUAAUACGGAGGGUGCGAGCGUUAAUCGGAAUUACUGGGCGUAAAGCGCGCGUAGGUGGCUUGAUAAGCCGGUUGUGAAAGCCCCGGGCUCAACCUGGGAACGGCAUUCGGAACUGUCAAGCUAGAGUGCAGGAGAGGAAGGUAGAAUUCCCGGUGUAGCGGUGAAAUGCGUAGAGAUCGGGAGGAAUACCAGUGGCGAAGGCGGCCUUCUGGACUGACACUGACACUGAGGUGCGAAAGCGUGGGUAGCAAACAGGAUUAGAUACCCUGGUAGUC
This 465-nucleotide ribosomal RNA is filed under the name Vreelandella stevensii. RNAcentral's name for it is "partial 16S ribosomal RNA". It matches the Rfam family "Bacterial small subunit ribosomal RNA", at positions 338 to 795 of the family's 1533-position model. The record is from RNAcentral. Lineage: Bacteria; Pseudomonadati; Pseudomonadota; Gammaproteobacteria; Oceanospirillales; Halomonadaceae.